CGGCGCAGAUCCAACCAGCUGGAGGAUCCGGAGAGAUUUCUGAGGCGAUACGAACGCUCCUUACGUGGACUGGCUUCCUUUAUUUCUUCUUAAGAUUUUGAAGAAGAGGCUGUGCAGGACAGUAGAAGCUGUUGAAGUUUUGACUGUGGGUUUGUACUCUCCCUCUCACCCACGCUCUGUCUCCAAAAGCUGCAGAGGUUUCGCUGAGAUGGCAAAAACGCGUCGCGACGCAGGAACCGAUAUAAACUGUCAGCCUCCAAGAACACCAACACACGCACAUCUUGUCUUCAUUGGACCUCCAAAAGAAAUACAAGCAUACAGGUUUAGAUCAACAUGAGGGUGAGUAUAAAUGAUGACAAAUGAUGAAAUUUAUUUGUGGGUGAACUACCGCUUUAAAGCUAACAUUUAAAUUUUUGGCUGCACCUGUUGUUAUUUCUAAACACAACAGUAUGAUUUACUGCUGUCCGGUCAAUUUGCAGGAAAUUAUGUCUUU
Long non-coding RNA from Cyprinus carpio carpio, 493 nucleotides. Lineage: Eukaryota; Metazoa; Chordata; Actinopteri; Cypriniformes; Cyprinidae. The record is from Ensembl.